RNAcentral lists this long non-coding RNA (459 nucleotides) under Mytilus galloprovincialis (Mediterranean mussel). Lineage: Eukaryota; Metazoa; Mollusca; Bivalvia; Mytilida; Mytilidae. The record is from RNAcentral.
GUUACUAAAUAAUUGCCACCUACUUUAACCUUCCAGAACAUUCAAGUGCGACCGUCUAGUUUUUGACAUCAAAGCACCUGGUGUCGCCUGUAUAUAGAGUUAAAUUCUUUACAAAUUUAAAUUUUGUUGUUUGGGGCAGUAUGAGGCUGUUAUUGUGUUUCUUUGUUCGACUUUCCUGGUUUUGGUAACGAGGUCGUCUGUUAAAACCAGCCAAACAUAGCAAUUAAAAAGCACUGAAAUCUUUGUUAUAAUUCAAAUUAUUUGAAUAUUGGUAUAACUGUGGUCAUAGUAUUUAUUAGUGUUCAAUGUUUCUCUCAAAAUGACGACAGGAUAUUUUAUCCCCAUGUACUGUUUCUUAAUAAGGUGCUUAUCACUAAAACAGCAAUAAAUGUCGGCAAAAGAUGUGAUAAUCUAAAGGAUAUUAGAAGCAACGGAAAAGACAAUACAACUAUUUUAAAG